Molecule: long non-coding RNA, 557 nt
Organism: Fopius arisanus
Lineage: Eukaryota; Metazoa; Arthropoda; Insecta; Hymenoptera; Braconidae
Exons: 2
Source: RefSeq, a predicted model, not a curated record
AAGUGACGUUUCUAACCGAACGAAGUGAGGUUAGAAUGCUCACUUUCGGCGCAUGUAGGCAGAAAAAUAUUAUACAUGUUAUACCGGGCAGUUUCACAUUAGGUACUACAUAAUGUACUAUUUUGUGAUAACUGCUGAGUGCACGCUUCGGGACUGCGGAGGGGGCAUCGUGUUCUUAUUUUGGACGGAGCGUUACAAUUCAAGAUCGUGAGUCAAGAUCGUACUUUUCGAGUGCGUGAUGUGAAGUUUUACAUACGAGAAUUUACUUCUUGUACAUUCUCUGCACUUUAUGGACUUUUCAGUUUGACACUUCGAGAUUCACCAGGUGGGGUCCAGCCACACGGCGAUCGAAUCAACGUCCAGUUUUGAGAAAUAAUCAUACAUACAGGCCUUGACGAGAGACGGUAGCUAAUCACUGUCAAGGUCGCUUCCCGAAGGUCAUUUGUUUUCACGAGAUAUUCGCCUACGUUUCGCCUGUUCAGCUGUCUCGGCCGUCACUAAAACAAAAUUUCCAACAUUGUACAAGUUAUGUUUAUUAAAUAUUAAAUAUAAAAGCA